RNAcentral lists this ribosomal RNA (552 nucleotides) under Triticum aestivum (bread wheat). RNAcentral describes it as "partial small subunit ribosomal RNA". The record is from RNAcentral. Lineage: Eukaryota; Viridiplantae; Streptophyta; Magnoliopsida; Poales; Poaceae.
AUGCAUCGGCGCUGUCCCACGCAACGCCACCGCACAGCUCAGUUCCGGCCCUCCUUUAUAAGCCCCGCCGCGCCUCUCCAUCGCUCCCCCACCCACACACAGCUCACAGCGCAGGCAGAGGAAGCGAGAAGCGAGCCACCAAGAAACCACCCAAAGGUUUGCACAAUGGCCGCUUCUCAGCUCACCAUCCUCUCCGUCCUCGCGCUCCUGGCCGUGGCCGCGACCGCUCAGGCGCCCGGAGCGGCCCCCGCGGCAGCGCCCCAGGCCCCGCCUCCCCCGCCGGCGACCCCGCCCCCGGCAAUGGCGCCCCCUACCCCGGCGCCUGUGUCCCCGCCCCCUACCGCGGCCCCUGCGCCCGCGCCCACCGUCGCCCCCACGCCCUCCGCCACCGCGCCGGCGCCCGCCGACUCCCCGAUGUCCUCCCCUCCGGCGCCCACCCCGGACAUGUCGCCCUCGCCCACCGCCGAGCCCGCCACCCCGGGCAGCGGGGCCGCUGGUCUCAGCCCCGCCUUCGUGUUGGCCGCCGCCGCGGUCGCCAUCUACGCCUUCUAG